Molecule: long non-coding RNA, 2219 nt
Organism: Homo sapiens (human)
Lineage: Eukaryota; Metazoa; Chordata; Mammalia; Primates; Hominidae
Gene: ARLNC1
Product: androgen receptor regulated long noncoding RNA 1
Source: Ensembl
CUGUUUUUUUUUUUUUUUUUUUUUUUUUUAGUCCAUUCAGCCACUGUAUGUCUUUUGAUUGGAGCAUUUAAUUCAUUUACACUCAAUUAAUGAUAGGUUUUCAGGUGCUGGUUCCAUGGCUCUUCCUGAGCCGAAAAUAAGGAAACUCCAUAGACCUUGUCCACUGGAACUCGUUCCCAUCUACCCUCCACUCUAUCCAGGGUGAUGGAUCUCUGCAGUAAGUGGAAGAGUUCUUCAUGGCCCCCAAGGUUAUAUCCAUCUAGAACUUCAGCACGUAAUUUCAUCUGGAAAUAGUGCCUUUGCGGAUAUAAGUUAGGUAAAACUGAAGAUGAGAUCAUACUGGAUUAGGAUGGGAUCUAAAUCCAAUGAAAAUGUCUUCAUAAAAAACAGGAAAGAACCCAUAGAAACACAAGGAAGAAGGUCAUGUGAAGAUGGAGGCAGAGAUUGGAGGGAUGCAGCCACCGGCCCAGGAAUGCCAGCAGCCACCCAGAAGCUGGAAGGAAAUGAGGGAUUCUCUCCUAGAACCUUUAGAGAGAACAUGGUCCUGUGAACAGCUUGAUUUUGGACUUGCCCAUAGCUUGUAUACUCUUACUUUGGAUACAAUUUUAUCCAAACUUGGCUAAACAGUUUCUCAGCCUAUGGAAAAUUUAAAAUGGAGAAGAUUCAACUCGAUUCUUACAGAUUCAAAGCAAGAAAAUGAUGGGAACAUAGGAGGAGACCAAGAAAGCCUAUAAAAAGCAAAAAUAUGAAGUGAACAUUGUGGUAGCUUUAAGAUGUUUAGUGUAGCUGCAGGCACCCUAUACACAUGAAAACCCCCAAGGGGAAUCCCCAUAUCACAGUGUAGUGUGAUAUUUGACAUUCGUGAUCAUCUAGAGAUGUACAGAAAAGGUGAAUCUGUGUUCUGUAUAUUCUGCCUAAGGCAAAGAAAUGUUUAGCUCUCUUUAAAAUAGUUCCAUAAUUUUUUCUAAAAAGCUUUGCUUGAAAACUGUAAGCUUCCCAUAUCUGGAGCAUUUCACUUUAAAUAUUUGGAUAAAUAUGUUAUCUUCUUACUUGGACAUUUCAUGUGUUUAGGGAUUGUCUUCUAAAUUCUUCCUAAUUCAUAUAGCUGCUAACACUUCCCGCAGAGCUAAACCAUUACAGAUAUGAAAUAAAGACCUAUUGAUUUGACUUACUUUUACUUGUAAAACCUUCUGAGUGUUAUAACCUCAUUUAAUCUUUCAGCAUUUACAGUUUCAAGAGUUUGUGUCACAAUUAGAAGAAUUCAGCUGCACCUCCAAGUGACAGCAGUUGCUCUGGUUGGUGGGUGAUCUCAGGAGGCUUGAGAAUUGCUUUGUCUGUGAGGGAAGUAAGACAUUUUCAGAGCCCCACUUUAGAAGGUGUGAACUGGCUAGAUAAUGAACCCCAGGGCUAACGCUGCUAUAGCAGUGGGAAGGAGGUGAUGGGUUUUCAGUUUGGACCUCAAACAUCAAUACCCUCCUGGUACGGGGAGGAACAGAGUCCCUCCUUUACUUCUCCAUUAGAAAGAAUGAGAUGGCAAGACAAUGAAACAGGCAAAGUGAACAGAGAUGCAAGACAAAAUUCAGGUGAGAGAGCCAGAGCAUCACUCAGCCAUUCCUGACAUGUAAAACAGGCAACUAGAAAUUUGCAGAAAGGAAGCGAAGUCUCCAUAAAGAUGUUUUUAAAGUGAGCUUGAAGUAUUUGGAGACAAUUCAGUGUUACAUAAAAUCUGCAAAUCUCUGGAUAAAGAAGCAGAGAUCCCAGCAUGGGACAAAUGGAGCCUCAAAAGUGGGAAGAAGACAGAGAAGACCAGGGCAGAAUGCAUCUCUUCCUUUCUCUUGGCUUUCCUGGAUAAGGACUGCAUCAUUCCUGUGGAAGGACAGGCCAUCAGCUCCGAAACACUGUAUGUAUUUUCCAGUAUAUACUGCUAGCUGUGUGAUGUUGGGAAAAUUUGUUACCCUGUCUAACCCCCACUUCCCUCAUCUGUAAAAUGGAAAUAAUGAUAGUACCUACCUAUCUCAUAGGUGGCAACUACAAGGGGCAGCACACUCAGGGAAUUAAGGAAGUUUCAGUGAACAUCAACUUUAUGAACACAGUGUUCAUAAAGGCAGGUCAGUGCAGUGGUUUGGGAGCCAGGAGAAGCACGUGGGCCGGAGUGUGCCUGCAGGAGACAAGGUCAGAGAUGUUGCUAAUAAUGGAGAAUAAAGGAUGCAUUCUCAUUA